AUGUUGUUUGGCAAAAUAAUCUCAUUUGACACCACUUACAGCACAAACAAGUAUAACAUGCCUUUUGCACCUAUAGUUGGAAUUAAUGGCCAUGGUAGAACAAUUGUUUUGGCCCUAUUGCAAGAUGAGACUUCGGAUACUUUUGAAUGGCUCUUUCAAACUUUUAUGGAGGUAAUGGAGUGGAAGAAAAGAGGAAUAAUAUUGAUAGACCAAGAUGCAGGGAUGAAAGCUGCUAUUCCUAAAGUAUUUCCAGAUGCUAGAUAUAGGUUCUGUCUUUGGCAUAUAUUUAAGAAUGUCAAGGAAAAUAUGAGUGCUUUUAUGGCUACCAGGGAAAAAAUGGAGAAACAUAUGAUGAAGUGCUUGUUGCAGGCCAUUACUGUUGAGGAAUUCGAAGAACAAUGGGAGAAAUUUGUUAAGUAUGAGUGUGCUGGGCAUGCUCACAUCAAAAGGAUGUAG
RNAcentral lists this ribosomal RNA (456 nucleotides) under Triticum aestivum (bread wheat). Its description in RNAcentral is "partial small subunit ribosomal RNA". The record is from RNAcentral. Lineage: Eukaryota; Viridiplantae; Streptophyta; Magnoliopsida; Poales; Poaceae.